This 69-nucleotide transfer RNA is filed under the name Camelus ferus (Wild Bactrian camel). It matches the Rfam family "tRNA". Rfam says of the family: Transfer RNA (tRNA) molecules are approximately 80 nucleotides in length. Their secondary structure includes four short double-helical elements and three loops (D, anti-codon, and T loops). The record is from Rfam by way of RNAcentral. Lineage: Eukaryota; Metazoa; Chordata; Mammalia; Artiodactyla; Camelidae.
GGUUAUAUAGCUCAGCGGUAGAGUAUGUGCUUAGCAAGCACAAGGUCCAGAGUUCAAUCCCCAGGACCC